RNAcentral lists this ribosomal RNA (500 nucleotides) under Oceanobacillus sp. S4. RNAcentral describes it as "bacterial SSU rRNA". It matches the Rfam family "Bacterial small subunit ribosomal RNA", at positions 8 to 475 of the family's 1533-position model. The record is from RNAcentral. Lineage: Bacteria; Bacillati; Bacillota; Bacilli; Caryophanales; Bacillaceae.
ANAGUUUGAUCCUGGCUCAGGACGAACGCUGGCGGCGUGCCUAAUACAUGCAAGUCGAGCGCAUGAAAUUAUUUGAUUCUCUUCGGAGUUGACGAUAAUGGAAUGAGCGGCGGACGGGUGAGUAACACGUAGGCAACCUGCCUGUAAGACUGGGAUAACUCGUGGAAACGCGAGCUAAUACCGGAUAACACUUUUCAUCUCCUGGUGAGAAGUUGAAAGGCGGCUUUUGCUGUCACUUACAGAUGGGCCUGCGGCGCAUUAGCUAGUUGGUAAGGUAACGGCUUACCAAGGCGACGAUGCGUAGCCGACCUGAGAGGGUGAUCGGCCACACUGGGACUGAGACACGGCCCAGACUCCUACGGGAGGCAGCAGUAGGGAAUCUUCCGCAAUGGACGAAAGUCUGACGGAGCAACGCCGCGUGAGUGAUGAAGGUUUUCGGAUCGUAAAACUCUGUUGUUAGGGAAGAACAAGUACUAUAGUAACUGAUAGUACCUUGACGG